Molecule: unclassified non-coding RNA, 548 nt
Filed under: Hevea brasiliensis (rubber tree)
Lineage: Eukaryota; Viridiplantae; Streptophyta; Magnoliopsida; Malpighiales; Euphorbiaceae
Source: RNAcentral
AUGAAGUUUUUACUUUUAAGAAAGGAAGUGGCAAUGGUCAUGAAUUUUGAUGCAUACAGGUGAUGACUGAUUUGGGUGAAUAUGAAUUGCAACAUACUAAUUGCAAUGGGGAUGGUGGUGGUGAUGACAGCAAUAGAGUAAUGUGAUAUGGAUUUCCCCACCCCACCAACCCACACCAACCACCAAAAUUUCUUCCUUCUCUUUUUUUCUUGUAAGAUUUUUAAAUUGGUUUUUAAUUGUAGUGGCUGUUGGUUGGGUGACAAUUUCCUGUUUCAUGACCAAAUGGCAUUUUUUUUUUGCGGUGAAUUGACUUACUGCACAUUACCUUACUAUAUGCCAUUGCAUUGUGCACAAAUUACUGCAAAAUGUCUUAAUUUAUGUAUUCCUGGUCUCAUUUUAAAAAUUUCUUCAUUAGUUGCCCCCUGCCCUCCACAUGUUCAUAAGUUUUCCCUGUGGGAUUUGGUGUGGCAAUAACAAAGCAGCUUUUUCAUAUCAUAAGUGUUUGUUUAAAACUAAUUUGGUUCUAUUUAUUAUUAUUAUUAUUAUUA